CUGGUGGAUCGGUUGUCGCGCCAGCGGCACAGCCGAGUAGCUAUGUAUGGACGGGAUAACCGCUGAAAGCAUCUAAGCGGGAAACCCACCUCAAAACCAGUUUUCCCUUGAGAGCCGUGAUAGACGAUCACGUUGAUAGGCUGGGUGUGGAAGAGCAGCAAUGCUUGUAGCUUACCAGUACUAAUCGCUCGAUUGGCUUGAUUAC
This 205-nucleotide ribosomal RNA is filed under the name Parvibaculum sp. Its description in RNAcentral is "partial 23S ribosomal RNA". It matches the Rfam family "Bacterial large subunit ribosomal RNA", at positions 2709 to 2925 of the family's 2925-position model. Lineage: Bacteria; Pseudomonadati; Pseudomonadota; Alphaproteobacteria; Hyphomicrobiales; Parvibaculaceae. The record is from RNAcentral.